GGGCCCGCACAAGCGGUGGAGCAUGUGGCUUAAUUCGAGGCAACGCGAAGAACCUUACCUGGUCUUGACAUGCCCGUCAUAGUUUUCCGAAAGGAAUUCGUCGGUUUCGGCCGGACGGUGCACAGGUGCUGCAUGGCUGUCGUCAGCUCGUGUCGUGAGAUGUUCGGUUAAGUCCGGCAACGAGCGCAACCCCUCGUUCCUAGUUGCCAGCGGGUAAUGCCGGGGACUCUAGGAAGACAAACCUCGUGUAGAGGUGGGAAGGUGGGACGACGUCAAGUCAGUAUGGCCCUUACGACCAGGGCUGCACACGUGCUACAUGCUCGGCACAAUGGGAUGCAAUACCGCGAGGUUGAGCCAAUCCAUAAACGAGCCC
RNAcentral lists this ribosomal RNA (373 nucleotides) under uncultured bacterium. RNAcentral's name for it is "bacterial SSU rRNA". It matches the Rfam family "Bacterial small subunit ribosomal RNA", at positions 917 to 1289 of the family's 1533-position model. The record is from RNAcentral.